RNAcentral lists this ribosomal RNA (467 nucleotides) under uncultured bacterium. RNAcentral's name for it is "partial 16S ribosomal RNA". It matches the Rfam family "Bacterial small subunit ribosomal RNA", at positions 29 to 507 of the family's 1533-position model. The record is from RNAcentral.
ACGAACGCUGGCGGCGUGCUUAACACAUGCAAGUCGAACGGAAAGGCCCUGCUUUUGUGGGGUGCUCGAGUGGCGAACGGGUGAGUAACACGUGAGUAACCUGCCCUUGACUUUUGGAUAACCUCAUGAAACUGGGGCUAAUACCGGAUAGGAGCUCCUGCUGCAUGGUGGGGGUUGGAAAGUUUCGGCGGUUGGGGAUGGACUCGCGGCUUAUCAGCUUGUUGGUGGGGUAGUGGCUUACCAAGGCUUUGACGGGUAGCCGGCCUGAGAGGGUGACCGGCCACAUUGGGACUGAGAUACGGCCCAGACUCCUACGGGAGGCAGCAGUGGGGAAUAUUGCACAAUGGGCGGAAGCCUGAUGCAGCAACGCCGCGUGCGGGAUGACGGCCUUCGGGUUGUAAACCGCUUUCGCCUGUGACGAAGCGUGAGUGACGGUAAUGGGUAAAGAAGCACCGGCUAACUACGUG